Molecule: unclassified non-coding RNA, 349 nt
Filed under: soil metagenome
Description: partial contains 5.8S ribosomal RNA, internal transcribed spacer 2, and large subunit ribosomal RNA
Rfam family: 5.8S ribosomal RNA (bases 1-119)
Source: RNAcentral
GAUGAAGAACGCAGCGAAAUGCGAUAAGUAAUGCGAAUUGCAGAAUCCGUGAGUCAUCGAAUCUUUGAACGCACAUUGCGCCCUCUGGUAUUCCGGAGGGCAUGCCUGUUCGAGCGUCAUUAUCACCCCUCAAGCCCGGCUUGUUGUUGGAUGCAGCGCUUAUCCCGCUCCUCCCAAAGAUAAUGACGGCGUCUGCGACGACUCCUGUACACUGAGCUUCCGGGCACGUACACGGCUAGAAGUCCAGACCCGGUCGCCGUCCCCCCCGCGGGGACACCCAUUACCACAAGGUUGACCUCGGAUCAGGUAGGAAUACCCGCUGAACUUAAGCAUAUCAAUAAGCGGAGGA